RNAcentral lists this ribosomal RNA (506 nucleotides) under uncultured bacterium. RNAcentral's name for it is "partial 16S ribosomal RNA". It matches the Rfam family "Bacterial small subunit ribosomal RNA", at positions 29 to 523 of the family's 1533-position model. The record is from RNAcentral.
AGUGAACGCUGGCGGUAGGCCUAACACACGCAAGUCGAACGGCAGCACAGGAGGGCUUGCUCUCUGGGUGGCGAGUGGCGGACGGGUGAGGAAUACAUCGGAAUCUACUCUGUCGUGGGGGAUAACGUAGGGAAACUUACGCUAAUACCGCAUACGACCUACGGGUGAAAGCAGGGGAUCUUCGGACCUUGCGCGAUUGAAUGAGCCGAUGUCGGAUUAGCUAGUUGGCGGGGUAAAGGCCCACCAAGGCGACGAUCCGUAGCUGGUCUGAGAGGAUGAUCAGCCACACUGGAACUGAGACACGGGCCAGACUCCUACGGGAGGCAGCAGUGGGGAAUAUUGGACAAUGGGCGCAAGCCUGAUCCAGCCAUACCGCGUGGGUGAAGAAGGCCUUCGGGUUGUAAAGCCCUUUUGUUGGGAAAGAAAUCCAGCUGGCUAAUACCCGGUUGGGAUGACGGUACCCAAAGAAUAAGCACUGGCUAACUUCGUGCCAGCAGCCGCCGUAA